AGAGUUUGAUCCUGGCUCAGAACGAACGCUGGCGGCAGGCCUAACACAUGCAAGUCGAGCGCCCGCAGGGGAGCGGCAGACGGGUGAGUAACGCGUGGGAACGUGCCCUUUGGUUCGGAAUAUUCCCGGGAAACUGGGAGCAAAACCGGAUAAGCCCUUCGGGGGAAAGUUUACGCCAAAGGAUCGGCCCGCGUUAGAUUAGGUAGUUGGUGGGGUAACGGCCUACCAAGCCUACGAUCUAUAGCUGAUCUGAGAGGAUGAUCAGCCACACUGGGACUGAGACACGGCCCAGACUCCUACGGGAGGCAGCAGUGGGGAAUCUUGGACAAUGGGCGCAAGCCUGAUCCAGCCAUGCCGCGUGGAUGACUGAAGGCCCUAGGGUUGUAAAGUCCUUUCGACGGGGACGAUAGUGACGGUACCCGUAGAAGAAGCCCCGGCUAACUUCGUGCCAGCAGCCGCGGUAAUACGAAGGGGGCUAGCGUUGUUCGGAUUUACUGGGCGUAAAGGGCGCGUAGGCGGAUUUUUAAGUCGGGGGUGAAAUCCCGGAGCUCAACUCCGGAACUGCCUUCGAUACUGGAAGUCUGGAGCACGGUAGAGGUGAGUGGAAUUCCGAGUGUAGCGGUGAAAUGCGUAGA
RNAcentral lists this ribosomal RNA (635 nucleotides) under uncultured bacterium. RNAcentral describes it as "bacterial SSU rRNA". It matches the Rfam family "Bacterial small subunit ribosomal RNA", at positions 8 to 694 of the family's 1533-position model. The record is from RNAcentral.